Molecule: unclassified non-coding RNA, 229 nt
Filed under: uncultured fungus
Lineage: Eukaryota; Fungi
Description: sequence contains ITS1, 5.8S rRNA gene
Rfam family: 5.8S ribosomal RNA (bases 181-229)
Source: RNAcentral
UCUCCGUAGGUGAACCUGCGGAGGGAUCAUUAAUGAGUGAGGGCUCACGCCAGACCUCCAACCCUUUGUGAACACAUCUUGUUGAUUCGGGGGCGAACCUGCCGGCACUCGGUCGCCGGGCGCCCCCGAAGGUCUCCAAACACUGCAUCUUUGCGUCGGAGUUUAAAACAAAUUAAACAAAACUUUCAACAACGGAUCUCUUGGUUCUGGCAUCGAUGAAGAACGCAGC